GUCUACGGCCAUACCACCCUGAGCGCGCCCUAUCUUGUCUGACCUCAGAAGCUAAGCAGGGUCGGGACAGGUUAGUACUUGGAUGGGGGAAUAUUCCACUGUUUGCA
This 107-nucleotide ribosomal RNA is filed under the name Heterocephalus glaber (naked mole-rat). The record is from RNAcentral. Lineage: Eukaryota; Metazoa; Chordata; Mammalia; Rodentia; Bathyergidae.